This 207-nucleotide long non-coding RNA is filed under the name Salvia miltiorrhiza (redroot sage). RNAcentral's name for it is "long non-coding RNA (SMIL_LNC012674)". Lineage: Eukaryota; Viridiplantae; Streptophyta; Magnoliopsida; Lamiales; Lamiaceae. The record is from RNAcentral.
CCUCAUCAAAACCUUACCUGAGAAAAUUCAAAGGAAAAACAAGGACCGGCGUAUACUCACGAUUGAUGGAUUUUUGGGUACGGAGUACGUCCUUCAUUUUUGGAUACAGACGGUUGACUUACGUGACCAAGUUAACCCACUUUAAAAAUUCCUUUUUCCGAUCAGAGUUAAACUUGUCGCCUAUUAAACACUCAUUCCAAUCCUUCG